This 253-nucleotide ribosomal RNA is filed under the name uncultured bacterium. RNAcentral describes it as "partial 16S ribosomal RNA". It matches the Rfam family "Bacterial small subunit ribosomal RNA", at positions 524 to 776 of the family's 1533-position model. The record is from RNAcentral.
UACGGGGGGGGCAAGCGUUGUUCGGAAUUACUGGGCGUAAAGGGCUCGUAGGCGGCCAACUAAGUCAGACGUGAAAUCCCCAGGCUCAACUUGGGAACUGCGUCUGAUACUGGAUGGCUUGAAUUCGGGAGAGGGAUGCAGAAUUCCAGGUGUAGCGGUGAAAUGCGUAGAUAUCUGGAGGAAUACCGGUGGCGAAGGCGGCAUCCUGGACCGAGAUUGACACUGAUGAGCGAAAGCCAGGGGAGCAAACGGG